GAUGAACGCUGGCGGCGUGCCUAAUACAUUCAAGUCGAGCGAACAGACGAGGAGCUUGCUCCUCUGACGUUAGCGGCGGACGGGUGAGUAACACGUGGAUAACCUACCUAUAAGACUGGGAUAACUUCGGGAAACCGGAGCUAAUACCGGAUAACAUGUUGAACCGCAUGGUUCGACAGUGAAAGACGGUCUUGCUGUCACUUAUAGAUGGAUCCGCGCCGCAUUAGCUAGUUGGUAAGGUAACGGCUUACCAAGGCAACGAUGCGUAGCCGACCUGAGAGGGUGAUCGGCCACACUGGAACUGAGACACGGUCCAGACUCCUACGGGAGGCAGCAGUAGGGAAUCUUCCGCAAUGGGCGAAAGCCUGACGGAGCAACGCCGCGUGAGUGAAGAAGGUCUUCGGAUCGUAAAACUCUGUUAUUAGGGAAGAACAAAUGUGUAAGUAACUAUGCACAUCUUGACGGUACCUAAUCAGAAAGCCACGGCUAACUACGUG
Molecule: ribosomal RNA, 497 nt
Filed under: uncultured bacterium
Lineage: Bacteria
Description: partial 16S ribosomal RNA
Rfam family: Bacterial small subunit ribosomal RNA
Source: RNAcentral